This 274-nucleotide ribosomal RNA is filed under the name uncultured bacterium. RNAcentral describes it as "partial 16S ribosomal RNA". It matches the Rfam family "Bacterial small subunit ribosomal RNA", at positions 523 to 796 of the family's 1533-position model. The record is from RNAcentral.
AUACGGAGGGUGCAAGCGUUGUUCGGAUUUAUUGGGCGUAAAGCGAGUGUAGGCGGUUUGACAAGUCGAAUGUGAAAUCCCGAGGCCCAACCUCGGAACUGCAUCCGAAACUGUCAGGCUAGAGUCCCGGAGAGGAUGGCGGAAUUCCCGGUGUAGGGGUGAAAUCCGUAGAUAUCGGGAGGAACACCAGUGGCGAAGGCGGCCAUCUGGACGGUGACUGACGCUGAGACUCGAAAGCGUGGGUAGCAAACAGGAUUAGAAACCCCAGUAGUCC